CCGAGGAGAGCCCAGCUCCAGGGCAGAAGGAGGGAGGCACCGAUGUGACCAGCCUGGGAAGGUGUCAGGGUAACACUUAUUUCCAUUCCAAAGCAGCAAUGAAGACAAUGGGACUGUAGGAGAAUUCAGCAAACACAGUUUAUUCAACCAGGAACAGAGUUACUAUCUCGUCAGAAACAACACAAGAUAUCUCAUAUCUGCCCUCCUGGG
This 210-nucleotide long non-coding RNA is filed under the name Parus major (Great Tit). RNAcentral's name for it is "lncRNA (ENSPMJG00000011768.1)". Lineage: Eukaryota; Metazoa; Chordata; Aves; Passeriformes; Paridae. The record is from RNAcentral.